This 21-nucleotide non-coding RNA is filed under the name Arabidopsis thaliana (thale cress). Lineage: Eukaryota; Viridiplantae; Streptophyta; Magnoliopsida; Brassicales; Brassicaceae. The record is from RNAcentral.
GGGUGUCUUGAUAGGCAUUGA